This is a non-coding RNA of Podarcis lilfordi (Lilford's wall lizard), 72 nucleotides long. The record is from the annotation of a GenBank genome assembly. NCBI's taxonomy places the organism in Eukaryota, Metazoa, Chordata, Lepidosauria, Squamata, Lacertidae.
UGAUGGCUCAGUUGGUAGAGUACGAGACUCUUAAUCUCAGGGUCGUGGGUUCGAGCCCCACCUUGGGCAAAA